RNAcentral lists this ribosomal RNA (600 nucleotides) under uncultured bacterium. RNAcentral describes it as "bacterial SSU rRNA". It matches the Rfam family "Bacterial small subunit ribosomal RNA", at positions 732 to 1335 of the family's 1533-position model. The record is from RNAcentral.
GCCCGUGAACGACGCUCAUGCUCGAAGGCGCGGGUAUCAAACAGGAUUAGAUACCCUGGUAGUCCGCGCGGUAAACGAUGGACACUCGGGAUUUGCCCCCUGCGGGUGAGUCCCCCAGCGAAAGCGUUAAGUGUCCCACCUGGGGAGUACGCCGGCAACGGUGAAACUCAAAGGAAUUGACGGGGGCCCGCACAAGCGGAGGAACAUGUGGUUUAAUUCGAUGAUACGCGAGGAACCUUACCCGGGCUUGAAAUGUGCAUGACGGGAGGCAGAGACGCCUCCUUCCUUCGGGCAUGCAUGUAGGUGCUGCAUGGUUGUCGUCAGCUCGUGCCGUGAGGUGUCGGCUCAAGUGCCAUAACGAGCGCAACCCCUUCCGCCGGUUACCAUCGGGUGAUGCCGGGGACUCCGGCGGCACUGCCGCCGCAAGGCGUGAGGAAGGCGGGGAUGACGUCAAAUCAGCACGGCCCUUACGUCCGGGGCCACACACGUGUUACAAUGGGGGGCACAGCGAGCUGGAGCAGGGCGACCUGCUUCGAAUCAUGAAAUCCCCUCCCAGUUCGGACCGGAGUCUGCAACCCGACUCCGCGAAGCCGGAUUCGC